This 3493-nucleotide long non-coding RNA is filed under the name Sus scrofa (pig). Its description in RNAcentral is "lncRNA (ENSSSCG00050033956.1)". Lineage: Eukaryota; Metazoa; Chordata; Mammalia; Artiodactyla; Suidae. The record is from RNAcentral.
CAUCCUUGUGAACACUUGACCUAGCCAGUGUUUUUAAUUUUAACCAUUCUAACAGGCGUGUAGUGUGUCUCAUUACUUUUACUUACAUUUCACUAAUGGCUAAUGAUGGUGAGCAUCUUUUCUUGUGUUUGCCUUUCCAUAAUGCCUCUGUCUCAGUUACUCUGCUCUGUUGCUUUAGAGUGAAAGCAGCCAUAGGUAGUAAGUAGCUGAAUGGGUGGAGCUGUGUUCUGGUGAAACUUUAUCUACCUAAACAAACAGCAGCAAGGAAAAUUCAGGGAGCAGAAUGUCUAAGGCCUUUGGAUGGAGUUUGCUGACUCCUGACACCGGUGAUCCUGUCUGCAAAUGAAGACAGAUUUACUUCUUUUCCAACCUGGAUACAUUUUAAAAUUCGUUUUCUGCCUCAUUGACUGGUUAAACCCUCCAGUACAAUGAUUGGAAAUGGUGAGAGUAUACAUCCUUGACGUGUUCCAUUCCUGUUCCUAGAGGAAAAGCAUUCAGUCUUUUCUUUUUUUUUUUUUUUUGCAUUCAGUCUUUUAUCAUGAAUUAUAAUCAAUCUUAGCUGUACAUUUGUUCCAGAUAGAGUUUACCAAGAUUAAGAAAUUCCUUCUAUUCCUGGGAUUCCCAGGCUAGGGGUCUAAUUGGAGCUAUGGCUGCCGGCCUAUACCACAGCCAUAGCAAAGCAGGAUCCAAGCUGUGUCUGCGACCUACAGCACAGCGCACAGCAAUGCUGAAUCACAGACCCAUGUUUCGAGGCCAGGGAUCAAACCCGCAACCUCAUGGUUACUAGUCCGAUUAGUUUCUCCUGUGCCACAACGGGAACUCUGAUUCUUUUUUUCUAUCUCGGAAAGUUAUUUUCUUUUUUUUCUCUUUUAAAAAAUUUUCUUGUAGUUGAUUUACAAUGUUGUAUUAAUUUCUACUGUAAAGGGAUUCAGUUAUAGAUAUUAUAUUUUCUUUCGUUUUCAUAUUCUUUUCCAUUAUGAUUUAUCACAUGAUAUUAAAUAUAGUUUUCUGUGCUGUGCAUAGGGCCUUAUUUUUAUCCAUUCUAUAUAUAAUGGUUUGCAUCUGCUAAUCCCAAACUGUCAGCCCAUCCUGCCACCAUCCCAUCCCCAUCAGUCACAAGUCUGUUCUCUGUAUUUGUGAGUCUGUUAUUUUGUAUAUAGAUUCACUUGUGUCAUGUUUUAGAUUCCACAUAUGAGUGAUAUAUGGUAUUUGUCUUUCUCUUUCUGACUUACUUUGCUUAGUAUGAUAAUCUAUGGGUUCAUCCAUGCUGCUGCAAAUGGCUUUAUUUCAUCCUUUUUAGUUAUAUGUAUGUAUAUACCACAUCUUCUUUAUCCAUUCUUCUGUCGAUGGACAUUUAGGUUGUUUCCAUGUCUUGGCUAUUGUGAAUAGUGCUGCUAUGAACAUGGGGUGCAGGUAUCUUUUAAAAUUAAAGUUUUGUCUGGGUAUAUGCCCAGGAGUGGAAUUGCUGGAUUGUAUGACAACUCUAUUUUCAGUUUUUUGAGAAACUUCUAUACUGUUUUCUAUAGUGGCCAUACCAAUUUACAUUUUCACCAGCAAUGUAAGAGGGUUCCCUUUUCUCCAUACCCUCUCCAGCAUUUAUUGUUGGUAGACUUUUUAAUGAUGGCCAUUUUGACUGGCGUGAGUUGGUACCUCAUUGUAGUUUUAAUUUUCUUUUUUUUUUGCUUUUUUUUUGUCUUUUUCUAGGGCCGCACCCAAGACAUAUGGAGUUUCCCAGGCUAGGGGUCCAACUGGAGCUGUAGCCGCCGGCCUAUACCAGAGCCACAGUAACUCGGGAUCCGAGGCGAAUCUGUGACCUACAUACACCACAGCUCACGGCAACGCCGGAUCCUUAACCCACUAAGCAAGGUCAGGGAUCGAGCCCGCAACCUUAUGGUUCCUAGUCAGAUUAGUUAACCUCUGAACCAAGAUGGGAACUCCCUUAAUUUUCAUUUCUCUAGUAAUUGGUAAUGAUGAGCAUCUUUAAUUUUUUUUUCUUUUUUUUUAGGGUCGCAUCUGUGGCAUAUGGAAGUUCCCAGGCUAGGGGUUGAAUCAGAGCCGUAGUUGCUGACCUACACCACAGCCACAGCAAUGCCAGAUACGAGCUGUGUCUGCAGCCUAUACCACAGCUCAUGGCAAUGCUGGAUCCUUGACCCACUGAUCGAGACCAGGGAUUGAACCCGCAUUCUCAUGAAUACUAAUCCGGUUCUUAACCAGCUGAGCCACAAUGGGAAUGCCAGCGAACAUCUUUUCAUAUGCCUAUUGGCCAUCUUGUAUGUCGUCUUUGGAGAAAUGUCUGUUUAGUUCUUCUGCCUGUUUUUUGAUUGGGUUAUUUGUUUUUCUGUUAUUGAAUUGUAUGAGCUGUUUGUAUAUUUUGGAAAUUAAGCCCUUGUCAGUCACAUCCUUUGCAAAUAUUUUCUCCAUUUCUGUUGUCUUUUCAUUUUGUCUGUGGUUUCCUUUGCUGUGCAAAAGCGUAUAAGCUUGAUUAGGUCCCAUUUGCUUAUUUUUGCCUUUAUUUUUAUUACUUUGGGAGACUGACCUAAGAAAACAUUUGUUGUCUUCUAGAAAUUUUAUGGUAUCUUGUCUUAUAUUUAAGUUUCUAAGCCAUUUUAUAUGUGUGAAUGUUAUGAGGAUAUGCUCUAACUUCAUUGAUUUAAAUGCAGCUGCAAAAUUUCCAACACCACUUGCUGAAGAGACAGUCUUUUCCCACUGUAUAUUCCUGCCUCAUUUGUUGCAGAUUAAUUAUCCAUAGGUGUGUGGGUAGAAGUUCUGUUCUUUUCCAAAAAUUUUUAUCAGGAAUGGGUGUUACAUUUUGUCAAAUUAUUUUUGGAUUUAUUGAGAAUGUUCAUAUAGUUUUUCCUUUUUUAGUUUGGUAGUAUGAAUUAUAUUAAUUGGUUUUCCUAUAUUUAGCCAAACUUCUAUGUUCAUGAAAUAUAUUGGUCUGUAUUUUCUUUUCUUGUAAUGGCUUUGUCUGGUUUUAAUAUUGCAGUAAUGCUGGCCUCAUAGAAUAAAUAAGCUGGGAAAUAUUUUCUUCUGUUUACAUUUCUGUAGGAGUUUAUUCAGAAUUAGUAUUAUUUUUCCUUAAAGUGUUUAAUAGAAUUCAUGAGAGAAGCUAUAUGGGCCUAGAGUUUUUGUUUGUUUUUACUUUUUUGUGGGGAGGUUUUUAACCUAUAAAUUCUUUUAUAUUACAAAUAGAUAUAAAGGUAUUAAUUUCUUUAAGACAGAGUAAAGAAAAGUAAAAGUAUGCAAAGUAAAACCGAGUGAAAAUUACUUAUUUCUUCUUGAGUGAGCUUUGGUGAUUUGUUUCGUUCAAGGAAUUUAUUUUCUCUGAGUCUUCAGAUUUAUAAACAUAAACUUGUUCAUAAUAGUCUUUUAAUAUCUGUGCAGUUGUAGUGAUGUCACUACUCUCAUUUCUGGUGUUACUUUGCGUCUUCUCUGUUUUUCCUGAUCAGUCUAGUUAUAAGUUUAUUAAUUUUGUUGAUCUUUCCAAAGAACC